GCUGGCGGUGCGCCUUAUGCAUGCAAGUCGAGCGAAGCUUUUCAGUAGUUUACUACAGAAAAUGACUGAGCGGCGAACGGGUGAGUAACGCGUGAGCAACCUACCUUAGUUACUGGGAUAGCCCGAGGAAACUCGGAUUAAUACCGGAUAUUCUUAUUUAAUCACAUGAUUAUUUAAGGAAAGGUCAGCCGAACUAAGAUGGGCUCGCGUUCUAUCAGCUAGUUGGUAGGGUAAUGGCCUACCAAGGCUACGACGGAUAGCUGGUCUGAGAGGACGAUCAGCCACACUGGGACUGAGACACGGCCCAGACUCCUACGGGAGGCUGCAGCAGGGAAUAUUGCGCAAUGAGCGAAAGCUUGACGCAGCGACACCGCGUGUGGGAUGACGGAUCUAGGUUUGUAAACCACUUUCAGGAGGGAAGAAAAUGACGGUACCUCCACAAGAAGCCCCGGCCAA
RNAcentral lists this ribosomal RNA (456 nucleotides) under uncultured bacterium. RNAcentral describes it as "bacterial SSU rRNA". It matches the Rfam family "Bacterial small subunit ribosomal RNA", at positions 35 to 500 of the family's 1533-position model. The record is from RNAcentral.